GUGGUGUGUCGUCACUUCCGGCCGGAAGUACGUGUGCAGAGCGGCUCCGGCGCAGGGGCGGGGAGCGAGUGGAGGCGCGUGGUUCCUCGUGUCUAAGGGUUUCCUCAGAUAACGAGAACUUUCCAGCCCUCGGCGAUUAGAUGCAGGCAGGCAGCGGUUGGCCCUUUCCUCCUGGUCGGUGAGAGCACUCAGAGCGCGCUCAGUUUGGGGGAUCCAGGGACCUGUGUGCGGUGAGUCACCUCUGCUGCUGAGAUGUACCACGGUUCCCAGCUGAAGAGACUGAGCCGCUGAUGGUUCUCUGUAGGAAGUGAAAACAGGGACCAUGAUGACGGUGACUCCCAAAGGUGGACGCUUGUGAGGAGUCAGCAAAUCCGGUGACGUGUUCGGGAGCACUUCAGACCCGUGAGCUGGCUGCUGCCCAUUCUUGGAUUUUCAGGGCACUUCAUGGUGUCUCUGGCUGCAAGCUUCCAGGACGCUGCCGUGCGUCGGGUCCUGGGGUACAAGGUGCUGUUGGCCACAGGAGGGUCCUGCCUGCUACCGGGAACUGAGGACCGUUUCACCCUGCUAACAGAGUAUUGGCAUUAGAAGUAUUUCCUGUUCUUGGCGCUAACAGAUUUGCCCGUUGAGGGGAUCCCUGAUCUAUGCAGAGGGACGGUGUGACUGUGGGAGGCUCCCUCUCGGCUCUGUUGAACCGGAACCCUGGUGUUCCCCAGGGAACCGACCUGGGAACAGACAUUUGGAUAUAAGUUCCUGGGACAGCCUGGUGCCUUUCACCUUGUAGAUGAAGCCAGAGACCGCGCAGACGACCUGUGGCAGCGUGGCAAGGACCUUGGGCCCCGGGCACGCGGGUGUGCCUCUGUCGUGGAACUCACCCGUUGUCUGUUUUCUAGCCUGUUGCCACCUCGUAGAAACUGUGUACUUGUUUUUUGCAACAAAGAGUAGAUCUGUGUCAUUUAAAUUACUACCAAGAGGACAACAGAAAGGACAUGCUCCUCUGACCUUCACAGGGCAGAGGCCUGUUUUGGUUUUACAUGGUUGCACAUAAUGACUGUUUAAAACAACUCUUCGUGCCGAUAUUUUUUUCAGAUCAAUUAUGCAACUGCAGCAGAAAACUAGUUCUUUUCUUGCAAGUGUAAUUAAAAACGGAGCCGAGUGAGCCAGGGGGGAGGUCACGUGUCUGGGGCCUGGCAGCUGUGCAAUUGUGUCCCGGUUACGCAACGCUGCUUUCGACCUUCAGCCACCAAUGGCAAAACCUUCAGAUUAUCGUAUGGUAUUGAAAUAAGGCUCUUACUUUCUUUGAACAACACGUUCUUUGUUAAAACCGGACUUGGGCUUUUAAUACUGACUUCCACUAGAGGCUCCGUAAGCCACGUUCCGUCCCUGCAGCUGUCCCCGUGGAACACAUUUCCUAAAGUCAAACUCCCGACUUUCGUGGCCCUUUGAAACUGACUCUGUUGUCAUCCGUCCUGGAGACGUAUGGGCAAAGCUCCCAUGACCCCCUUCACUCCAAUUACGUCUCUGUUCCCAAUCGCCACACCCCUUUGAAAGUUAACGGAGGAAAUAGGAAAUACUAAGAAAUCUAAAUGAAAUAAAGGGGUUACUUCCUCCAGUUGCUUUUUACAUAUGUGUAAGCACUGCUUAGUGUUUGUUUUCAUUUUCAAUUUUUUUCCUAAAGUAACAAUGCACAAGUUUUUGUUUGUUUUUAGAGAGGUGGGGAAGGGGCAGAGAGAAUCCUAAGCAGGGUCCGUGCCCAGCGUGGAGCCCAGUGCGGAGCCCAGUGCGGGGCUCGAUCUCACAACCCUGAGGUCAUGACCUGAGCUGAAGCCGAGAGUCGGAUGCUUAACCGACUGAGCCACCCAGGCGCCCCUGUGCUUUUCCUUUUGACUCUUCAUCUUAAGCCUUGCCUGUCGACUUCCUUUGUGGUGGAUUCAGGCCAAGCACUCACAGACCCCCUCCGCUUCCCCUUGCGCAUCCCCCAGUACGAUCAUCCUGUGUGAAUUCUGCUCGGACCAGCAUUCUGCAUUGUCCUGCAGGUAACGAUGCUUACCUGCCCCCGGCCUCGCCUUGCAAGACCCUCUUCAUUUCCUUCUUGUUCUCCCCUAGUUGUCUUGCUGUUUCUUUGGUGGAGCUUUCUUUGGUCACUAAGUCUUGUUCCCACAUGGCCCAUAGCUUCCAGGCCCAACUUUACACAAGGUCAGCCACGUUACCUCUACCUUUGCACGGGGUCAACCACAUGACGUCAUGUACCCAUUCUGCCUGUUUCUUAGAUGUGUGAAAGAAGGCUUUUCAGACGGUGCAGUUAGGAGAAUGUUGUUACGGUUUUGUUACAGUCACGUGCAAGGGAGAGGCCCCGCUAAGGCCAAUUCAGAAGUUCAGUUUUCAUUAGGAAUUUUAUAUCUUACAGGAAAAUGUAAAGGUUGGAUUAUUGUCAGGGCAAAUACAAAAAGAAUCCUGGCUGAAGACCUCACAGUUGGGUGGGUAGGUAACUGGUUUCCCAGGAAGUUCCUUACAAAUUAUGUCAAGGGGAUGCCAGUCUUCCCAGAAGGAGGCUGUGAAUUUUAAUCAGGCAGAAAAAGGCUCUGUCCCAAGCCAGGUUUAGACUUUUUUUUUUUUUUUAGAUUUGAAUUUUAAGUAAUCUCUACACCCAACGUAGGGCUCUAAACUCAGAACCCCAAGGUCAAGAGUCACACAGUCCACCAACUGAGCCAGCCAGGUGCCCCUAGAUCAGUGUUUUAUACCCUCUCUUUGACCUAGACAUCAUAUCUGACUUGCUUAAGAAUGCAUCUUGUUGCAUUUUGGUUCCAAGAACAUAAAGGGACGUGUUGCCUAGUUCAGCGCUUCCCGAACAACCUGUGCAGAAAUCCCCUGGGGGAUUUGUCAAAUGCAGAUUCUGGUGCAGUGGGGCUGAGAUGGGGCCUGGGACUCUGCAUUUCUCACCAGUUCCCUGGUGCUGCUGGUCUGGGGACCACACUUUGAGGAGUAAGGGAGGGCAUUUUUGGUUGCUUGGUACAUCUCCCAUUGAUGGUAGACUUGGAUGUAGGUUUAAUUUGUCUGACACAUGCCCAGUUGUGAUUACUAGCAGUGUCUAUACAUAUUCCUGAGCCAGUUUCCUAUAUUAAGGAAGAAUUUCCCGACACAGCAUGUAGUGGUCAUGAUUUCUUACAGUCUGUGCACUGAGGCCUCAUAUGUAAGCUGGAUUCAGUGAGGCCUGUUCCAUAGGUACGGUGAGAGGCAAUGAAGAGCAUCUCUUUACUGUUGGUCUAAUAAAACUAAAGUCACAUGAAAGAUAAUUUUAAAACCUCCCAGCUGUCAAAAAUCAGAGCUGGAUUAAAGUGGUGAAAACAGAUUUUCUUGAACUAUUGCAAUAAAGGAAAAGAGACCUCAGUAUAGAAUGGGGUUCAGUUCCAAAUGUAGCAGGGACAGGGAGCAGGAGCGGGGCAGCGAAUGGAAAAUCACUAAGAGGAAAUGUCGAGGGUAAGGGGGCUUCUGGCUAAACUGACCUAGCGGGAUUCUGACUGAAGGCCAGCCAGGGUGUCGGGUAUCACCCCAGGGCCAGUGAAGGAUGAGGAACCUGGUCACACAUCCGGGAAGGUGGGGGGGUUGCGGGUUCUGAUGAAACUGACUUAGCUGGGUUCUUGCUAAAACUAGAUUUUAUAAGGAAGUUUACAGACAGGCCUAGGAGAUGGUCCAGGAUUCUAACAUAGAAUCUUUGUCCUAACCUAACCUUGGUUAGUUCUUUUGAGGUUAGUUUGAAUGUUCUCUAAACUUUGAGAGAAAAGGAAAUAUUGUAUAAUUGAGAGAGAAUAGAAAGCAAAAUUUAUGACAGGUCCAGUAGGUGCCAAAAAUUUGCAAAUCUUACCUCCUUGAAUCUCUUAUGUGGGGGGAGUGGGCUCAUUGAGGGCCGGUGACUGCCUAGGGUCACAGGCUGGUGUCCACUUUCUCAUUCACAAAUGUGGGUCACACACUUGGGCACCAUGCUAGGCACUGGGGAUACACGGGGAACAAGACCAUCACCACAGCCCUGGAGCAGGCUUUGUAGUUGAGGGACGACCCCUCCCCAAAAAAUAAACCAUCACAUAGAACACACAAAGAAGAGACCUUUGGGGAAGGUCCCUGCUUUGAGUGCUGUUGGGGCUCCUACUUUGGCUUGGAGGAGAGGGAAGGCCUCACUGGUGGUGUCUGCACUGAAAGCUGAAUCACAAGAAGGAGUGGGCCAGGAAUGAAGAGGGAAGGGCAUUCCAGGUGGCAGGAACAGCAAGUGCAAAGGCCACAUGGCAGGAGUCAACUAGCGGUGGGCCCGGGACCUGAACCUGGUGCUGCCUGACUCUGAAGUCAGUGGUCUCCCUGCUGAGGCCUCUGUCAUUUUGCUGCCCAGUGUCAAAGAAACAGGUCCAGACGUAGGAAACAGACCAUCUUGUUAAGGAUGAUUGUGGGGGGGGCGGGGCACCCCACCCGGGAGGAUACUCUGACCAGGGAUCUGCCCUGGAAGAGUUCGGCAAAAAGGAAACUUCCUUUGUGGGAGGAGUGGUGUGGGGGAGGGGGCAGAAGGGUUGCUGCUUGAGGGAGUUGGCCAGAGAAGGUGUUAGCUGAGGUCACCCUGUGAGGCUGCAGGGGUGGAAGAGGUUUCCUUCUGCCCUUUGCGGUUCUUCAGCUGGGCUGAUAAUUAAAUUGACAUGAGACAUUAAUGGGAGAAAAGCGGAAGUUUAAUAACAUGCAUACCUCCUAUAUACAUGGCAGGAGAACAGUUACGCCCCCAAAUGGCCAAAGCCAUCACCUUAAAUACCACCUCCAGCUAAAGAUACAGGAGAUGUUGGGGUGGGGGAGUCAGUUGUGGAGGUGAUCAGGAAAAGCACCGAGAACAAGGUGAGGGUGUUGUGAGGGUUUAAGUUCACACCUCCACUGAUGAGUUUCCAGAGACCUCAGGAGACACCCGCACACAUGGAGACUUCCCUCAGAAAGAAAUGUCUCUUACUAAAGGGUAAGAGCUUCUCCUGUCACUGCAGUUUCUUAAAAAUAACCAGUUUAAAGUAAUAUGCCAAAGAGACAUAUUUGGGGGUCUGUUCUCCCCUUCAUAGCCAUUUUGACUCGUGUCAACACACGUUCUCUGAGCAGAGGCUGGGCCCACAGGCCACGUGAGGCAGACACGUGCCUGUGGACUGGCGCUUCCUUCCAGUGGAAAUGCUUCAAGUUGCUGCUCAAGGAGUGAACACAGCUGAGUGCUUUCACGAGCGCCCCAUGCCUUUUGGUGAGCAUCAUCCAUGUUUGGCUUUAUUUAGCUCUCAGUAACAGCAGGAGAUAGAUGGGAAGCCCAGCAGCGGAUGCUCAGAUUCAGCAACUUGUUCAAGGUCUCCCACCUGGUUCUGGAGCAGAAACCAAGAUUUGACCUUCAUAUAUAAGUUGGCAGAGUCCAUCACAAUUUGCAAAAAAUUUGACAUUGAUAGAUGGGCCUGUCCACCGCCGCCUCCUGGCAGCGAUCAAACAGUGCUGUAAUGCCUCGUGUCCCCCCUACUCUUCCCAGCUGAGGAACCAGGUGCGUCAUCAGUGAAUUGUCCUCCUUCCUUCCAGGAUGUGAUUAGAUAUGUCUAAUCCAGAGCUGAUGCCAGAAGUGUCACAUUUGGGAACUCGACUUCCCACGGGAAAAGCGUGAGCCCCGUGUGCCAGCCGUAUGGGUGGUUCUGUCACUUCCGGCGGGCCAGGCACACCAGCGAGGUCUGGGAAUCUCAGGCGAGGAGGGGCAGCCGCACGCCCAGCUGCUGUCGGUGGUCCUCGUUCCCUGGUCUCAGAGAACAUGGGUGAUUAAAAGCAGCUGGAAAAAAAAAUUCCAGGACAUUCCUGGUGAUUCUGGAGUCUGGCUUCAGGAAUCCUGUACUGCGUGAAAGGACAAAUACAAACAAAAAGUUGGAGGUCUUGUUCUCCCUGUUGAAAACCAGGGAAGAGUGACAGGUGUGGUGAUCAUUUUGCAAUAUAUACAAAUAUUGAAUCAUGGUGCUGGACACCUGAAACUCAUAUAAUGUUAUAUGCCAAUUAUAUCUCAAUUAAAAAAAAAAGGAUCUGAGACCCUGUAAAAAUAAGCCCUUGUUUAAAAGUACAGAAACAACGGAGGAGCCUUCCCCCUCCUCCCUUUGCUCUCAGCCUUUCUUUCUCUGCGCUUCUCACAAGUAUGCUAAUCUGUUCCGUGGCUAAAUUAGUCUCUGGCCCAUCUCACAACUCAGGAAUGUCUUCCCUAGGACCAGAGAGCCUCCUCUUUGAAAUGUGAGGAGGAUAAUGCUGUCAGUGUCCUGGGAGGGGACAGCCCCACUCCACUGUCACCUGACUAAUUGCAAACCUACACGAGGACCCAUUGUCUCGCUGCAGCUGCUUAGCUCUAUCACGGAUCGUGUUUUCUGUGUUUUGGUUCCUUCAGUGGGUUUCGUGGGGUGCUCCUCAUGUUGUGGUUGAACGCUUAUCAUUCAUUGCUUUCUUCUCCCUUUGUGGAGAGCUUUGUUAUCCAGGGCUGUUGACCAAACUUCAGUCAGGCUCCUAGACCGUCUCCUAGGCCCGUCCAUGCGCUUCCUUAUAAAAUCCAGUUUUAGCAAGAACCCUGCUAAGUCAGCUUCACCAGAAGCCCCCUCUGCUUCCCGGAUGUCUGACCAGGUUCCUCAUCCUCCAGUGGCCCCUGGGUGAUGCCUCACACCCUGGCUGGCCUUCAGCGAGGAUCCCGCUAGGUCAGUUUAGCCAGAAGCCCCCUUACCCUCUACGUUUCCUCUUAGUGAUUUUCCAUUCACUGCUCCGCUCCCGUGCUCCCUGGCUAUAAAUUCCUGCCUGUCCGCGCUGCGCUCGGAGUCGAGCCCAAUCUCUCUCCCCCACUGUAAAUCCCAGCACACGGUCCCUCCGCCCAUCAGCCCAUCGUGAGGGUCCUGGAGGGAGCUGCCUCACCAUCCUUAACAAGUCUCCUUGCAUGUUUUUUUCUUUACUAGUAGUAGAGAGGCGUGAACUCCUCUACCCUCUUAGGUGCUUUCUUUGGAGGCCUGCAGAUUAAACUGACAAAGACAGUUUAGCAAGAAAAAGGCAGAUUUGUAGUGGAGUUCACAGAAACGUGCCUAGAGGAAGCUUAGAAUUGAGAGCUCAUCUACCAUCUUAAGAAGGGGAGGGGAGGGGAGGGGAGACGGACGCGUGCAGGAAAGCAAGACUUUUAGGAGAGGUGAGUGAGCCUUUGGAAUAGGUGGUAGAUGUGGUAGUUCCUUGACAAGGCUGAUUUCUCGUCUGGAUGUGGACUGCUCUUCUCUGCUGGUAGGAGUCCGUCUUCUCGGCUUGCAGUCCCAGCCUGGGGAGGGCAUUUAUGACACUUGAAUUCUUCUUUUAAAGAUUCUAUUUAUUUAUUUGAGAGAGGGAGAAACAGAUUCCCCACUGAGCAGGGAGCCCGACGUGGGGCUCCAUCCCAGAGCCCUGAGAUCAUGACCUGAGCCGAAGGCAGACGCUUGACCUUCUGAGCCACCCAGGCGCCCUGACACUUGAACUCUUUCAGGAGGCUCUGCGUUUAGGCAGAUAAGGGAGUUCAGAAAAUCAAACAGUACCCCCCCCAAAAAACCACCAAAAACCAAAAAACCACCCCUCUUAUUCUGGGCCUGUUCACUGGCUUUCUUCUUAUCUAAUUUUGUUGGGCGUCAAGGAAAUUCUCCACUUACCUCCUCCCAAGUGAGGGGAAGUUGAAAUUACUCAGGUCUGCUCUAGAGUCAGACAAGAAGCCGCCCCCCAGCCUAGCCUCCAGUCCCCGGCAGCUUCCCCUUGCUGCGCCCUCGCCUCACCCGGCAGCUGACUGCCCGUGAGCAUCUGCGUCCGCCCACCUGGUCUGCAGCGCUCCGGGAGCAGGCGUCCGCCUGUCACCUACGGGCACUCACUAAUGCCCCCUGGGCUGUGAUUUACCAGGAAGGAGUCCCUUCUGUCCUGGAGAAAACCAGCUGCCCACCGUGGAGCUUCCAUGCCUUCAGAUUCUGGGGCAGUGAUGAGGGGUCUUCUUCAUGUGGCCCAGCACCCCGUAGACCCCCAGGGGCCAGAACAAGCAGAAAGUAGCUUCCACCUCAGGACCCCUUACCCCCCGAGGGGCUGGGCCUGACGCUUCACCUUCAUCUCAUUUACUGCACCUUCGAACAACAGGUUUCUGAGGCCGAAUGGUUCUUCUCUGCACCUUCUAGAUAGGGGGACGGCGGCAGGGGGGCGGCCACUGCCAGAGGCCCACGGCUGGGCCACACCUGAGCCCACAGCGCCAGGGACGGCCACUGCCAGAGGCCCACGGCUGGGCCACACCUGACCCCACAGCGCCAGGGACGGCCACUGCCAGAGGCCCACGGCUGGGCCACACCUGAGCCCCACAGCGCCAGGGACGGCCACUGCCAGAGGCCCACGGCUGGGCCACACCUGAGCCCCACAGCGCCAGGCAGUGAAGGGUCUCACUCGGCCGCUUUUAAGCUAACGAAAUAGAAAUAAUUACAAGUAUGAGAAAUACAAAAUAUCUAUUAUGUAUUUCCAUUCUCGGUCAGACUCCGUUAAUGAGCACAAGGGAGAGGGGAGAGGGUGAGAACGCGGGAAGCCUGCGGGGCGGCCCAGAAGUCCCUCCCGCGACGCACACAGCGGGUACCACAGUCCGGGUGGCCCGUCAGCACUGAGCACCGUGAGAGGGCCUCUUCCUGACCUUCUGGCAACAGUGGCACCCGGACUAAUCUUACAGAGGUCCUAGAAGUCCUUUUUAGGGCACCUGGGUGGCUCAGUCGGUUAGGCUCAGGUCGUCAUCUUGGGGUCCUGGAAUCCAGCCCCGCAUCGGGCUCCCUGCUCAGCGGGGAGUCUGCUUCUCUUUCUCCCUCUGC
This is a long non-coding RNA of Zalophus californianus (California sea lion), 8840 nucleotides long. RefSeq lists it as uncharacterized. The transcript has 5 exons. NCBI's taxonomy places the organism in Eukaryota, Metazoa, Chordata, Mammalia, Carnivora, Otariidae. The record is from RefSeq and is a predicted model, not a curated record.